Molecule: long non-coding RNA, 1376 nt
Filed under: Marmota monax (woodchuck)
Lineage: Eukaryota; Metazoa; Chordata; Mammalia; Rodentia; Sciuridae
Source: RNAcentral
CGCUGAGCUGGCUGCUUCCCUCCCCCUUGCUGGUCACAGUCUGCCCAUGGCGGUGGUUAGCGGCUGGCCGCAGGCUGCAGGGGGAGGCACACAGGGCCUGAGCAAUCUGCUGGUCACUCGUCCCGAGGCCAUUUUCCUGGCAAGGCCUCUCCAGUCCACAGCCUGUCAUGCAGCCAGUCUUACAUCUCAAAGUCUGAGGAAGGGACGGGCGCGGGACCUGCACUGGCUGCCAGGAGGAGGACAAGCAGUGACCAGUGAGCCCUCAGCUGCCCCAGGCCCUGUGGGCAGCUCUCCCAGGGGUGUGUGUGGCCCCUGGGAGUCCAGAGGCCGGGGUGGCCUUCUGCUAUGCCUGGGGACGAGGCCGGGAGGCCCCUGAGAGCCUCCCAUUAAUCUUCCAGUUGCAGAAUUCUCUUCACUGCUGCACUGCCCUGGGGACACCCGUGCGACCUGGAUAACAGAACCGAGAUUGCUCGUGAGCUCAUCCCGACUGACCGCCGCAGUGGUCCUCGGUGGAUGAAGAGAGUUGCAGCUCAGGAAACUGAAGACACUGAGCUCUGGGGGCUCAUCAGAGCAAAUGGGCGCCGGGUUCAGUGUGUCAGAGGACACGGGAGUCCAAGGGAGAGGGACUGCCCCCCAGGCUCAGUGACUUGGUUGUGUCGGGACUUUUCCAAGGAAAGUUGCUCUUUGCCCCUAAAUGUCCCGUGAUUCUGCGGGGCUGAUGAUUUCUCAGUGGGCAUCGGGCUCCACUGGGAGGGUGCCCUGGCAGAGCCUCCCCAGUCCCUUCAACCAACUGGUUGGCCUCUGGUCAUGGGGCUUGGGGCCUCUGUGCUGGGUGAUCCCUUGCGGGGUCCUCCAAGCAUCAUGCGCAUGGUGGCGGGACCAGCGUGGAGAGGGCUGGCCUCAUGCUCUCAGCAGGGGUACCUGGGCAUUCCUGUUCCCCUGCUGGGUGCACCCCAGAAACAGCAGGGGCUUGCUGAGCCUGCUGCUUGGCUUUGAGAGCUCAGCCGGGUCCGUUGCCAGUGGAAUUGUGUCCUCCAAAAGGAAACACUGAAGUCUCAGCCCUGGCACCUGGGACUGUGACCUUAUUUGGAAAUAGGAUCUUUGCAGCGUCUACAAAGCUGUAAGUUAAGAUGAGGUUGCCCCAGGGUGGAUGGGCCCUCGGUCCACUGUGGCGGGGUCCUCCUGAAGGGGGACACACCGAGAAGCACAGUGCGCAGACCGCAGCUCCGCCACAGAAAGAGGCAGGGCCUGGGCUGAGGGAGGAGGGAGGCUGCCGCCCAGGGAGCUCAGCCAUGCUGUGCAGGCCCGUGGACCCCCACCCACCCCUCGGCUUCGCCUGCUCACCUGCAAAAGGGUCACCAAAUAUUCCUCUGCUG